AGUAUCCGUUUGUUAUUAAAUAUGGGCCUCGUGCUCAUCCUGGCAACAGGAACGACCAUAAAGAAGCCGUCGAGAGAUAUCGGAAGAGUUUUCUUUUCUGUUUUAUAGCCGUACUACCAUGGAAGUCUUUCGCAGAGAGAUAUGGUAGAUGGGCUAGAAGAGCAUGACAUAUACUGUUGUGUCGAUAUUUUCUCCUCGGACCUUGAAAAUUUAUGGUGGGGACACGCAAACUUCUCAACAGGCCGUACCAAUAUCCGCAGCUGGUCUCCAAGGUGAAGAGUCUCUAGUCGAUAGAAUAAUGUAGGUAAGGGAAGUCGGCAAAUUAGAUCCGUAACUUCGGGAUAAGGAUUGGCUCUGAAGAUUGAGAUAGUCGGGCUUGAUUGGGAAACAAUAACAUGGUUUAUGUGCUCGUUCUGGGUAAAUAGAGUUUCUAGCAUUUAUGUUAGUUACUUGUUCCCCGGAUAGUUUAGUUACGUAGCCAAUUGUGGAACUUUCUUGCUAAAAUUUUUAAGAAUACUAUUUGGGUUAAACCAAUUAGUUCUUAUCAAUUAUAACGAUUAUCAAUUAACAAUCAAUUCAGAACUGGCACGGACUUGGGGAAUCCGACUGUCUAAUUAAAACAAAGCAUUGUGAUGGCCCUAGCGGGUGUUGACACAAUGUGAUUUCUGCCCAGUGCUCUGAAUGUCAAAGUGAAGAAAUUCAAGUAAGCGCGGGUCAACGGCGGGAGUAACUAUGACUCUCUAAGGUAGCCAAAUGCCUCGUCAUCUAAUUAGUGACGCGCAUGAAUGGAUUAACGAGAUUCCUACUGUCCCUAUCUACUAUCUAGCGAAACCACAGCCAAGGGAACGGGCUUGGAAUAAUUAGCGGGGAAAGAAGACCCUUUUGAGCUUGACUCUAAUCUGGCAGUGUAAGGAGACAUAAGAGGUGUAGAAUAAGUGGGAGAUAUUAGACCUCGGUUUGGUAUCGUCAAUGAAAUACCACUACUCUUAUUGUUUCCUUACUUACUUGAUUAAAUGGAACGUGUAUCAUUUCCUAGCCAUUAUACGGAUAUAUUUAUUAUAUCUUAUGGUAUUGGGUUUUGAUGCAAGCUUCUUGAUCAAAGUAUCACGAGUUUGUUAUAUAAUCGCAAACAAAUUCUUUAAUAAAACGAUGCAUUUAUGUAUUUUUGAUUUGAAAAUUUGGUAUAACUCCAAUUACUCAGGUAUGAUCCAAUUCAAGGACAUUGCCAGGUAGGGAGUUUGACUGGGGCGGUACAUCUCUCAAAUAAUAACGGAGGUGUCCCAAGGCCAGCUCAGUGCGGACAGAAACCACACAUAGAGCAAAAGGGCAAAUGCUGACUUGAUCUCGGUGUUCAGUACACACAGGGACAGCAAAAGCUCGGCCUAUCGAUCCUUUUGGUUUAAAGAGUUUUUAACAAGAGGUGUCAGAAAAGUUACCAUAGGGAUAACUGGCUUGUGGCGGCCAAGCGUUCAUAGCGACGUCGCUUUUGAUC
RNAcentral lists this ribosomal RNA (1492 nucleotides) under Drosophila sechellia. Its description in RNAcentral is "eukaryotic LSU rRNA". It matches the Rfam family "Eukaryotic large subunit ribosomal RNA", at positions 1620 to 2875 of the family's 3401-position model. The record is from RNAcentral. Lineage: Eukaryota; Metazoa; Arthropoda; Insecta; Diptera; Drosophilidae.